UGGUGGGGGUAGUAUCUAAUCCGCGUCCGUCGUUGAGAGGCCCCGAACGGCUCCUCGCUUCCGUCUAUAUAAGAUUCUAGGGUUUCUGCAACGUCGUUUUUCCAAUAUCCUUCUCCAUUACCAUGAGCAUCUAGGGUUUUAUCUGCAAAUCCCUGCUGUUCUUCUGCCAUCCAAUGGCGGGAUCUCGAGUCCAAGUCAACAAGGCUCACAAGAGCCGUUUUGCUUCCAAAGCGUCUAGGCAAGUCCACAGGACUUCUCGAACUGAUAAGAGCCGGAUCUCAAAACCUGACCCGCAUGGAGUUGUGAAGGGCGCCCGUGCUGCGCGGGUUCAGCGCAGCAAAAUGGUGCGAGAUCAGAAACGUGCUGCUCUUUUGAAAGAAAAAAGGGCUACUAGUGGCUCAGCAAGUCCUCCCCGCGUAAUUGUUCUUUUUGGCCUUUCUGCGUCGGUAAAAAUAAAUUUGCUUGCAAAAGAUCUAUUGACGUCAUUAUCACCAGAGGGUACCGAACCUACAUCUACUACCGUUGCAUCUCCUACUUACAAACUCCGAACAACAAUUCUGGAAGCACCUCAUGGGGAUUUGUUGUCAUGCAUGGAAAUGGUGAAGGCUGCCGAUCUUAUCGCUUUUGUGGCAUCGGGAAGCUCUUUGUAUGAGGGAGGUGAAUCUGGUAGUUUUAUGGAUUCUUUUGGAAGUCAGUGUCUGUCUGUCUUCAGGGCACUAGGUUUACCAAGUACAGUCGUCCUGAUUCGUGAUCUUCCUGCGGAUUUGAAAAAAAGGAACGACAUGAAGAAGUUGUGCUCCUCUAGCCUUGCUUCUGAAUUUCCUGAGGAUUGUAAGUUCUAUCCGGUGGAUACAAAGGAGGAGUUGCAUAAGUUCAUGUGGCUUUUCAAGGAACAACGCCUUUCUGUUCCUCAUUGGCGAAAUCAUCGACCUUAUCUCAUGGCUCAGGAGGUUGAUUUGGUAGCUGAUGAAGCCAACACAGGAAAAAGUACUCUCCUUAUGUCAGGUUAUGUGCGUGCUCACAGUUUGUCAGUGAACCAGCUGGUUCAUGUUUCAGGUGCAGGGGAUUUUCAGUUGGCCAUGUUAGACAUUCUCAAAGAUCCGUUUCCUAUAAAUGGAAAGAAAGAUCGGGACUCGAUGGAUUCAGAUGGAUCCCAUAGUGUACAGGUUAUUCGCUCAUUACUACCUGAUCCUUCAAAGCAAGAGCCUUUGCUUGUUGAAAAUAUCCUGGAUCCUCUUGCUGGAGAGCAGACAUGGCCAACAGAAGCUGAGAUGGUUGAAGCUGAUGCAGUUAACAAAAGAAAAAUGCUAAAGAAGAAGACUCUUCCUCGAGGAACGUCAGAAUACCAGGCUGCUUGGAUUGUAGAGGAUACAGAUGAUGAGGACUCGGAUGGUUGUGAGGAUCAUGGUGAUGGUAUGGUAUUGGAUGAAGGACAAAAUGAUCGUUUUGCCCAGGAAGGUAACAAUCACUCAGAUCUCGAUGAUGACGAAGGUUCUGUUUCAUUCAGCAUGAGAGAAUUUGAUGAAGAAACAGAAGCUGAUACGGCAAUGACUGAUGGUGAGAAUCUGACAAGAGAGCAGAUUGAAGUUGAGAUUCAAAAGAUUAAAGAAGCACAUGCUGAAGAUGAGGAAUUUCCAGAUGAAGUGGACACACCAUUAGAUAUUCCUGCUCGUAAGCGUUUCGCCAAGUACAGAGGCCUUAAAUCUUUCAGGACUUCUUCAUGGGAUCCAAAGGAAUCUUUGCCUCCCGAUUAUGCUAGAAUUUUUGCAUUCGAUAAUUUUGCAAGAACACAAAAGCAUGUCCUUGCAAAAGCUCUUGACAUAGAUCAAGGGAGCAUGGAUGAUUGUGUACCAGUUGGUACGUACGUGAGGCUCCAUAUCAAGCAAGUACCGGUUGAUGCUGCUUCUAAACUAUGCAUGUUGUUCAAAACAUUGCCUCUGCUAGUAUGCGGUCUCUUGCAACAUGAGUCUAAGAUGUCGGUCCUUCAUUUUAGCAUAAAGAAGCAUGAUUCUUAUGAUGCUCCUAUCAAAUCCAAAGAAUCACUCAUUUUUCAUGUUGGAUUCCGCCAAUUUAUUGCACGGCCGAUAUUUUCUUCGGAUAAUAUAAACUCAGAAAAGCAUAAGAUGGAGAGAUUUUUACACGAGGGCUGCUUUUCCAUAGCUUCUGUUUAUGCCCCUAUUUCUUUUCCUUCCUUGCCUUUGAUAGUUUUGAAGAGUGGGCAUGGGGAGGUUGCUGCACCUGCUGUUGCUGCUGUCGGUUCCUUAAGAAGUGUUGACCCUGACAGGAUAAUUCUGAAGAAAAUCAUUUUAACUGGUUACCCUCAGCGAGUGUCGAAAUUAAAAGCUACCGUUCGAUUUAUGUUUCACCAUCCUGAAGAUGUCAGAUGGUUCAAGCCUGUGGAUGUGUGGACGAAAUGUGGUCGCCGCGGUCGCGUGAAGGAACCUGUUGGUACCCAUGGGGCUAUGAAGUGCGUCUUCAAUGGUGUUGUUCAGCAGCAUGAUACUGUCUGUAUGAGCCUGUACAAACGUGCAUUUCCCAAAUGGCCAGAACAACUGGUUCCAAUCCUAAAUGCAUAGUCGUAAGCGACGGCUGGUUUUCUUUCGCUUGAAAGGGAGGAAAACUGUAUGCUGUUGUUUGGGAGUGAAGCUGUGGUUCAGAUCGACAUUGAGAGUGUUACUACCACAUCUCGUGUCUGCAGUUUCAGGUUAGAUCAGGCGGCUGCAUGAUUAGUGACCUGAACUAUGCUUCUGGUGUGGCCCAUUGCCCAUGGGCAACUUUGUAAAUAUCGCGUUGGACAAUCCUUUCUGAUUUUGCACAAGGUUAAAAGAAAUUGGCGACAAAUGUUUGUAAAAUCAGGUGCUAGAAUUGCCCAUUUGAUUUAGUCAUCCAUUAUUGUAGGACCAACCAGAUGCAUGGUUUGGUUUAUCUGAAUGUGCAUCCCUGUCUCCAUCAUGAGAACCUCUUUGGAAGUCCACCCUAGGAAAGCAAAUAGUUUUCUUUUUU
RNA transcript from Magnolia sinica, 3003 nucleotides. RefSeq lists it as uncharacterized. The transcript has 22 exons. Lineage: Eukaryota; Viridiplantae; Streptophyta; Magnoliopsida; Magnoliales; Magnoliaceae. The record is from RefSeq and is a predicted model, not a curated record.